Molecule: long non-coding RNA, 188 nt
Organism: Bufo bufo (common toad)
Lineage: Eukaryota; Metazoa; Chordata; Amphibia; Anura; Bufonidae
Exons: 4
Source: RefSeq, a predicted model, not a curated record
CCGCUGGAAGACAGUUUCUGGGAGUAGAACCCACAAGGAAGCAAGGGUCCAUCAGGUGUCCGACGCUGCAACAGGAGGGCGCCUACUCCUGUAUCAGACGCAUCCACCUCUAGGACAAAGGGCAAACCAGGAUUGGGAUGAGACAGAAUCGGAGCCGAAGCGAAAGCAGACUUGAGCCCCUCAAAAGC